CUCCUAAUUAUUUCAGAAUGGAGCAAAGCACAGAAGCUGUACUGUAAAUUACACUCCAAAACUCUUUUAGGCUGUCAUACAAAAGAAAAUGAAUAGAAAGGCAACUUUGAUUACUUUUGGUAUGCGUGAAUAUGGAAAGGCGAGAGACGUACCCAAGGAAUUCACUCAAAUUAGAUUGGAUUUCAAGGGUCACUCACUAUUCAGCAGCGUUCAGUUCAGUGUCACGUGGAUGGGGCAGGGGAUGCUGCUUCUGCUGCAGCACAUCAGCUGUUGCCAUCAAGCUGAAGAACUAGAAGUGAGCACGUGAAUCGCAGAUGCUAACAAAUUAUUAGUAAAUUCCAUCUACUUCUGAAGAAAAGCACCCAAAAAGCACAGCCAGUCCAUCACAAAACCAUACAUCUCGGAGGACACGGCAUUACUUACUUUAAUUUCUGUUUGUUUCUGCUUUGGCCACCAGCAGGUGUCCAGAAGCACAGCUGAAGGCAUUUCCACGGGCUGCAACUCGCUCCUGACUUCAACACCUGCCACUUAAGCAGCACACCUCUGCUAGCGUGCCCCAAGACACAACCAGCAGAUUUCAGCCCUUCCACGUCAGCUGACGACUUCUGGUUUCCAGAAAAAACUUCUCCUGCCUCUGCCACACACGCAAGGAAAUUUGCUGAGGAGUCGUGAGCAGAAAGGAUCACUGGAAAGAUAAAAAAAAAAAGCUACACACAAGCAAGAUGAAGUCCCUGAAGUCAGAGCCUCCGCUCACAGCCCAACUUCCACAUCUUCGUUACAUCUUUGAUUAACAUUUUGUGGUGAGCAAGGCCCAGGACUGCCCUCCAAACGAGACACACGCAGCACAGUCGGAGCAAGCAACAGCUUUCUGGACCUCGUGAGCUUUGGAGUCCGAACACCAAUUUUUCUUUGAACAGGCAGCUGAUGGGUGCAGUUCUAAAACCGAGGAAACAAAUCCAGUAGAACUGAGUAGGCUUUUAAAAAGAAGCCUGCUUUGUUUUUAACCUGGUUUAACAACUUCCAGCAUUGGUGCCAACCCCAUAAAACACCCUGUGUCUCCCAGAAACUUUGUUAUUUAAGGCUUGUUUCAGCAUGCUCCAAGGCCAUCCAGGUUCCCCAGGCCUCCCCCUCCCCUUGCCCAGCUCCCCCAGCCCCUGCAGCCUCCUCUGCCCCCCUCACCCCGCAGCUCUCCCCAUGAGGACAGAGACAUCCCUUCCCCAGGGGCUCUCCUCUCCAUUUACUCCCCUGCAGAAAUACCACCCCCAACAACCAGCUCUAUCCCCCCACACCACCAAACAAGGCCGUAAAACAAAUGCUGUCCAUCACAGCGGGCUUCAAACAGCUGAACUGCUACUGAAAUUCGCAGGAAUUGUAACGGUGCUGGAUGGACAGGGAUUUGAGUUUAAGAAAGGGAAUUCUGUGAUGAUCAAAAGCAAGUUAUUUUUACAUAUAUUUUUAUCUUUGCUUGUUCUCUACGCUUUAGACCCCAUUGGUCUUUGCUGCAGGCUACGUUUUUCUCUUUAAUUAACCAAGCUGACCUGGAAUGAGUUAGAGUGAUAUUUCGUUUCCUUCCAGCCUGCUUUCAUUUUGCUAAAAUGCAAUAUAUAUAUACACACAUGUAAGUAGCACUGGGUACUAGCCCACAAGUUCACAUCAAAAAUAAGGUAGGCAAGACAGGAUCAUAAAUCAGACAAGGCUUUGAGGCAAGUUUACCUAGACCUUUCCCUUAUUGCAUGCAACCACGAAAAAAUAAAAUAUCUUUCAAGUUGAAAGAGUCAGACUCCCAUAGAAACCAAGUUACACUAAUUAAUUUUUCUACAGCAUCAAAAGCACAAAACUCCAAAGACAAAACAAAAUGUAAAAGUUUUAAAACUUUCUCCUCCAGCCUACCAUAGUCCAGGUGAGUUCUUCUCCUCCUCCACAGGCUUGGCUUCAGCUCACUGCUCUCCACACUGCAACCGAGCCAAACCAGCUCUUCUCAGCUGCUGGGGAUUUAUUUCCUCUUUCCCUGAUUGCAAAUACCUGUCUCCCUCUGCUCUCUCCUUGAUGCGAUUUGCUCUCCUGCCCCAUACGUGGCCUCCCCCAGCCCUGCAGGGCUGACCUGUGAUGGAACAACCGCAUCCACCUGAGCACACCACGCCUCUACCCACACAGGCAAACAACCCCAUGGUGUGGUUUUCUGUUUUCACAGUGGUCAGAGAAACCUUGUGAAAAUCCAGGGGGGAAGUGCAAACAGAUUUUCUUUCUUGUAUCACCAUGGCUUGGUAACAACUAAGGGCUUCUUAGCUUCUGCGCUCUGGCAGGAUCUGUCAGUAGGCCAUCUUGUAGGCUACAAGGAGAAACAUUCACCACAAGAUUACUGCCGUCAAACCUUUACCACACUAUGUGCUGAAACUCAGCUUUCUACCAAUGGAGGUCUCUUCGUGCCCUGGAACCUACCAACUGGGGUGCCUUCCAGUGCUCAGAUGCCUCCUGCUAGGCCUCAUGCCAUGAUGGGGACUUCUUGACCCAGCUAUCUCCUUAACAGGCCACAUCAUCACAGAGUCACCUAGGUUGGAAGAGACCUCCAAGAUCACCUACCCCAACCUCUGACCUAACACUAACCAGUCCUCCACAAACCCUAUCACCAUGUCAUAUUUUAGAAGAGGUGCUGCUGCCAGGACUGUACAGAACAUUUUAUUUCCGUUAGGUAUGAAAAUAAGAGGCAGCUCACUGCUAGAAGUGUUGAAUUCUCAGCGCUUGGGGGCAGCUGGCCUAUUUUCUGCUGGUCUAGCUCACAAACAUUCUUCUGAAUGUCUGGUUCCCCGAGAAGGGUGAUUUUGCAAGCCUCUCAGCAACUGCAGAGUGCCUCUGGGGCACCUGUUGGUGAGGCUGCAAGGCAGGUGGCGAUGGCCAGCAGAAGGACAAGGGGCUGUCAUCUACACCUCUGACAAACCCCAAGUGCUGGCUGCUGCACCAAGCCUGCUGAAGCUGGCGAGGGAGCCUCACCCAGCACCCAGAGGCUGAAGUGCAGAGACAACAGCAACUCUUUGGACAGCCAGCAGGGUGCUCAAGUCAGGAUGACAGUCACCGGGCACAUUAGGAGGGUGCCUGAUUAUCACUCAUUUAAAAAAUUGCAACAAUUUUAAAGGAUGGAUCCAGCCUCCAGAGGCCCCAUAUUUUGCAGUCUAAGGUUAUUUUGUGAAUUCUUACCUCAAGGGAGCAGAAUAAAUAGCUGCAAUGCCUACAAACCCCAGGGUCAGUCCUCAUUGCCAGCGCCUGGGAAUCUUCUGCGGUAGGAGCCUCACUAAGCAGAUAAAAUGCAGGUGCUGUAAACAGCUGGCCCAGGUUUGCUCGUCCUCUAUCAAAAUUCUCUUGUUCAAGCAAGUACCUGUAGACCAAAGCAACUUUACCAAGGCAGAGAAUUUAGGUAUUAAUAAGUAGCUGCAAGGGUAUUCACCAUGCCUCAUUUAGCUCGCAGAGAGCUCUUCUAUAAAACUUGGGCGAUUAAAAUAUGAUAUGAUAUAUGAUUUAUUCUCAUCGUGCAAGUCAUGAAAGUAGCACACAAAUGCCAGCUGAUACACUAUGGCUGGCACUGAAAUAAUCAAUUUUGCAGUGUAUUGCUUUUAUGAAGGCAACUUCCCAUAUUCCACAGAUAUAUUAAAACAGAAGGUCACUCAAAAUACCUGGUA
Molecule: non-coding RNA, 3671 nt
Organism: Anas platyrhynchos (mallard)
Lineage: Eukaryota; Metazoa; Chordata; Aves; Anseriformes; Anatidae
Source: RefSeq, a predicted model, not a curated record